AGAGUUUGAUCCUGGCUCAGAAUGAACGCUGGCGGCGUGCUUAACACAUGCAAGUCGCACGAGAACGCUUUAGCUUGCUAAAGCAAGUAAAGUGGCGCACGGGUGAGUAACGCGUGGGCAAUCUACCUCCGAAUCGGGGAUAACAUUGCGAAAGCGAUGCUAAUACCGGAUGACAUCCUGAAGGCUUUGGUUUUAAGGAUCAAAGGUGGCCUCUACAAGUAAGCUACUGUUUGGAGAUGAGCCCGCGUACCAUUAGCUUGUUGGUAGGGUAACGGCCUACCAAGGCGACGAUGGUUAGCUGGUCUGAGAGGAUGAUCAGCCACACUGGAACUGACACACGGUCCAGACUCCUACGGGAGGCAGCAGUGAGGAAUUUUGCGCAAUGGGGGAAACCCUGACGCAGCAACGCCGCGUGAGUGAUGAAGGCUUUCGGGUCGUAAAGCUCUGUCAAGUGGGAAGAAACCACGAGGUGAUAAUAUCGCUUUGUGCUGACGGUACCACUGAAGGAUCACCGGCUAACUCCGUGCCAGCAGCCGCGGUAAUACGGGGGGUGCAAGCGUUAUUCGGAAUCAUUGGGCGUAAAGGGCGCGUAGGCGGUUUGUUAAGUCAGAUGUGAAAGCCCGGGGCUCAACCCCGGAAGUGCAUUUGAUACUGGCGGACUUGAGUAUGGGAGAGGGAAGUGGAAUUCCUGGUGUAGAGGUGAAAUUCGUAGAUAUCAGGAGGAACACCGGUGGCGAAGGCGACUUCCUGGACCAAUACUGACGCUAAAUUGCGAAGGUGUGGGUAUCAAACAGGAUUAGAUACCCUGGUAGUCCACACAGUAAACGAUAUGCACUAGAUGUUGGGGGAGAGAAUCCUUCAGUGUCGCAGCUAACGCGUUAAGUGCAUCGCCUGGGGAGUACGGUCGCAAGAUUAAAACUCAAAGGAAUUGACGGGGGCCCGCACAAGCGGUGGAGCAUGUGGUUUAAUUCGAUGCAACGCGAAGAACCUUACCUGGGCUUGACAUCCCAAGAACGAUCCAGAGAUGGAUUGGUGCCCCUCGGGGAACUUGGUGACAGGUGCUGCAUGGCUGUCGUCAGCUCGUGUCGUGAGAUGUUGGGUUAAGUCCCGCAACGAGCGCAACCCCUAUUUCUAGUUGCUAACGCGUAAUGGCGAGGACUCUAGAGAGACUGCCAGUGUAAUAAACUGGAGGAAGGUGGGGACGACGUCAAGUCAUCAUGGUCCUUAUGUCCAGGGCUACACACGUGCUACAAUGGUCGGUACAGAGGGAAGCAAUACUGUGAAGUGGAGCCAAUCUCAGAAAGCCGAUCUCAGUUCGGAUUGGAGUCUGCAACUCGACUCCAUGAAGUUAGAAUCGCUAGUAAUCGCGUGUCAGCAUAACGCGGUGAAUACGUUCCCGGGCCUUGUACACACCGCCCGUCAAGUCAGCCGAGUUGAUUGCACCCGAAGGAGGUGAGCGAACCGUAAGGGGGCAGCUUUCGAAGGUGUGAUUAGCGAGGCG
RNAcentral lists this ribosomal RNA (1501 nucleotides) under metagenome. Its description in RNAcentral is "bacterial SSU rRNA". It matches the Rfam family "Bacterial small subunit ribosomal RNA". The record is from RNAcentral.